CAAUGUUUUUUCAACAUGUAGACAAAGUUUGGUGUUUAUAGUGUUACUCUCCUCUGAGCAGUAUGCAUUAAUUCACAGCUAAAUGUAAAAAACAAUCCACAUUCAAAUCAAAAUAGCCGACUUCCUGUUGGUCGUAGCUAAUGACUGUGAAUUAGAAAGUUGUCCGUCUUGAUAAGAACAAUUUUUGUACUGAGUUUGGUGUCUGUAGCUAAAACUAACCCCCCCACUUUUGACAAAAGGUGGCGCUAUAGAGUGCCUCUUCCACGCCCUCUUAUGAACUUUUGCCAGUGUCUAGCUGUCACUAAUACUGAUAUGUGUUCUGAGUUUGAUGAAAUUCUAAGCAUGUUAUAUGCCUCAAAAUCACCUGAGAAGUAUUCCAGUUUGACAUGUUGCCACGGCAACAAUAUUUUUAGAUAUCAAUAUCCCCCCAGCAGAUUUAUAUCGACUGUGUUUUAACAUUAUUCUGAUGAAGUUUGAAGCAAAUCGAGUAAAAAUAAGAUGCUGAAUUCAAAGCAUUUUGAAAAUGACACACUUCCUGCUGCCAGUUGGUGGCGCUAUAACUUUGACUCCUAAUAGUCACAUAUAUGCGAUCGACAUCAUACAAUGAAUAAUCUGAUGAAGUUUUAUAACAAUCAGGAAAUGUAUGUGGAUGGUAUUAGACACUUCCUGUUUCUCAAUUCUCGCCAUAAAUUCAACGCCUCACUACGAGCAAACCGUUUGAGAUAUCAAAAAUCCCCUGGCAAUUUUUCAUCCCCAAUGUCUUGAGAUCAUGUUGACCGAGUUUGGUGUCAAUCGGCAAAAAACCCUAUGACAAGUAUUUCAAAUUCCAGAGCAUGCGCUUUUUACAUAACUCUAAAUAGCUGACUUCCUGUUGGGCGGAGCCUAAGACAUGCAAUACGAAAGUUGUUCAGCACGAUGAGAUCUAUAUGUGUACUGAGUUUGAUAUUAAUAUGUGCAAGUAUGUGUGAGCUAUGCAUCAACAUUUCUGACUGUGAUCCAGGGGGCGCCGUAGAGCCCCUGUGCCACGCCCGGGUCCCAGCCUCUGCAGGCUCCUAAAGGCCACAGAUUCCAAAGUGUGCGCAAAUUUUCAAGAGUUUUUGAGUAUGUUAAGGACCCCAAAAGCCCCCACAACUUUGACGAAAAAUAUGAAUACUAAACGCUAAAUAUCCAACUUCCUGUUGGGCGGAGCCUAUGACAUGCAGUACGAAAGUUGUUUGGUUUGAUGAGAUCUACAUGUGUACAGAGUUUCGUGCGUCUACGUGCAAGUAUGUAUGAUAUAUGGCCCUCAGUAUUCCAGGGGGCGCUGUAGAGCCCCUGUGCCACGCCCGUGUAUCAGUCUCUGCCCGGCCCUAAUGGCCGCAGGUUCCAAUGUGUGUGCCAAUUUUCAAGACUUUUUAAGCAUGUUAAGGGCCCCAAAAGCCCCCGAAACCUUGAAGAAAAAUAAUAAUAAUAAUAACAAAUAAUCCUAAGGAAAACAAUAGGGCUCUCGCCCUCCAGGCUUGAGCCCUAAUAAUAACAAGAAUAAUCCUUAGAAGAACAAUAGGGCUCUUCGCCCCUUCGGGCUUGAGCCCUAAAUAUAGCUGCAAGCAGCGAUGGCGGGCUCAAGCCACCAAUGCCAUCACCACCCCGGUGGCAUCAGGUAAACUGUGCCCAGCGGGCACAUGCAUUCACAAUAUCCCUCUGGCAGUGAGGUUUUAAAGGAUAGAGGGGAGCGUAGAGGGGAGCGUGCAUUUGCAGUGGCUGGGCCACGACUCUGGAAUACCCUGCCUUUAGAGAUCAGACUGGCCCCUUCCUUGUCUAUUUUUAAAUCUUUGCUAAAAACUUUUUUAUUUUCCUUAGUGUACUGACUACUGUGUUAUGCUACAUUUUGAAAUGGGUGGUUUUAAAUUUUUUGUCUGGUCUAUUUUUAUGUAUGUGUAAUAUUCUUGCUCUUAUGUUAAAGCACUUUGGUCAGCCAGGAGGCUGUUGUAAAUGCGCUAUACAAAUAAAUUGAACUUGAACUUGAACUUGAACUUGAUAUGGCAGUUAAAGGGUUAAUCCGAAUCAUCUAGACUUUAAAAUCACAUUCACAGAACAAUAUAUAUAUAUAUAUAUAACUUUAGUAACACUUUACAAUAAGAUUUCAUUUAUAAACAUUAUGUUAACAUGAACAAUAUUUAUAUAGCAUUCAUUCAUGUCAGUUAAUAUUCCAAACUUAAACAUUAAAACAUUGUUUUAUUGUGAUUUUUUUCCAAGCACAUUUUACCAAUUCCAAACCAUAUCAAUCUUAAUAACUACCAUUAUUUUUUAUUUAAUCAUUUAUGAGUGCUAUACAAUAGUCCAGGAAAGCUGGAAGAGAAAAACAGGUCAAGAAGAACUGACAAAAGAAUUGCAAAAGAAUUAGGAAUUAAUGUGAAGAUUAAUUUUUAGUCAAUUCUGCAAGACAGACUUUCAGGAAAGGAGGUGGAAUAAAAAUGAGCUCCUAAAUCUUAAUCCCGGAUUCUGGAAGAUAUAUUCCUCAAACCAUCGGACAAGAGAAGGUGGUGCUGGUCCUUCACGAGUCACUCUAAUCUGUUCAUGAAGCCUAUAUAUAAAGUCUUAAUAUAUAGUAUUUCACAAUACUUCAUGGUAUUCUAAUUAAAUCAUUUUUUGGAAUCUUAGAUUUCUCAGAACCUGACACAUUGUAAUUCUGAGACUCCAGGAAAGUGGCAGCUCUGUAAAAUGUUGGCACUGGAGACUAAAUGCUCCCUGAUAGUUUCACACCUAAUUCACUUAACACACACACACACACACACACACAUUACCCACAGUGACAGUGGGACUGAGUGACAUCAGAUUUAUGAUAGUUUUUUAAUUUUCUAUCAUCCAUAUAGUGUUGUAUAGUCAUGAAACUAUGCAUAUUUCCUCAGAAUGACUUGUCUUCUAUGUGUACAUUUUUUUGAAGUGUUUAGAAGCUGCACUUUAAAAAAAUAAAAGACAUUUACUGGUUACUUUUUUACUGUUAUUUCAAAAAAUCACCACGACAAAACCAUUCAAGCUAUCCAAAAUUCAUUCGCAUCUGUUCUGUAAGAUAAAUUCUUUAAACAGUGGUAAAAGAGGAUGUGGUGCUGAACCUUCAAGAGUCACUUAAAACGUAUCUGUCCAUAAAGCCUAUAAAGAAUUAUUCUUAAUAUACAGUUCACAAUACUUCAGCUUGUUAUUCUAAUUAAGUGAGGGUCAUUUUAUCAGUAAAAUUCAUAAAAUUCAUAUUAUUUUUCUUUGAAAGAUUUCUAUAAAUGAUUUAAAUCAUACUUGUUUCUACAAUAAUUAUUUAAAAGUGAUCCUAUAGCUCCAUCAGGUGGCCAUUAUUGGUACUAAGAAUUGCAAGCUUGAUUUAUAUGUUAUGAUAGUUUUAAUUUUUUGCUGGCUCUUGAAAAUGAUAAAGCUUUGAAACUUACUGUGGUUCCUUCAAAUGAUGACUUCUACGUAUAUAAAAAAUUAUGAAGAGUUUGGAAUGAAAAAAUUUAAAGAUAUAGUAAAAUAACUAUUGUAUUUUUUUAUGUUACUUUAAUAAAUUGCUAUGGCCACACCAUUUAAGGUAUCCUAAACCCAUUCGCAAUUUAACAUCUUCAGUAUAUUGGAUUCAUGUUAAAAAAAAAAGUUUGGUGUGAACUACUUGUGUCUUCUUGGAGGAGUAUGAAU
Molecule: long non-coding RNA, 3660 nt
Organism: Carassius gibelio (silver crucian carp)
Lineage: Eukaryota; Metazoa; Chordata; Actinopteri; Cypriniformes; Cyprinidae
Exons: 3
Source: RefSeq, a predicted model, not a curated record